GGGCGCUCCUCGCGCCGCGCAUGCGCGCUGGAGCUGCUGCGGUCCUGCCCCUCUGGUCAAGUCAGAGGCGGGUCUUGCAGCCCUGACGCUUUGGUUAUGCGGAGGGUGGUUUUGUGCAGGUGACAGCUUUUCGGCCUGCCUUCCACAUACGAACUCUCGAUAACUUUCAAGAGCCAGGUGAGAAGAGGGCAGUGUUAUACUAGGAGAAACCACUUGGAGAUAAUGCCAGGUGCUUUUCGGUGUGAUUUGCAGGAAAUUCUCCCACCAGAGACCCGUAUUAUGCCUGGCAUACAGGAGGCAUUCAGAACAUUUGAUGACUAGAAGUGUGUGUCUAUCUCAAUGACACAGGUCUCUAAAACCCUUGCUGACAGUGUUUGGACCAAGAGGCUGGCAGCUAUGAUGGGAGCUCUGGUAGAAGAUGCAGCAACAGAAGAAAAGGAAAACCACCAAACCAGCAAAGAAAGAAGUUGGUCAACACUUUGAAAGGGUUUGCAUCAGAUUCAUCUAAAGACAGUUGCUCCGUAUAUAAAAGGAAGAAAAGAAUGUUUGCCUUACUCACUUCAGAGUCUCGUCCUGAGAACCUUAAACGUGAAAGUACAUUUGCAAACUAUAAAGCCUUCCUUAACUGCAUGGUUUUCUUAUUAAGAGGCCCUCCUACCUCCCUACCUGAGGGAACCUUUAACAGAACCCCCCUCCUCCCCCACCCAUCACGGGCACUUCUGCUCUGUUUAGAGAAACACAUUUUAUGGCGGCACAGAUACAGACGUGGAUCACAGGGUCACUGCUAUGUUUCCAUUACAAACACACAGGCUUCAGGCUUCAGCCCUUUCCACAUGCUGAACUUCAUCGGAGUCCCAUGUGUUGAGAGCCUUCUGGAAGAGACCCAACAAUUACAGAGGAGUGCACCAUACAGACUUGGCCUGAAUGUAAUUUCAGCCUGAACUUUCUGGGGAUUGUUAUGGGGUCCCAUCCUGCAGUCUUUCAACAUGAGAAACUCUCCUGGGCAUGGAAGGUUUGGAAAAUCUUCAGGAUUGAAGAGUAUUGCCUCUAGGAUUGAACAUCACGGAGGACCCUGUAACCAGAAUGGACCUUCAGUCUCAUUUCAUGAGGCUGCUGCUUUUCUGUGUCUGUGUGGCCUUCUACUUGAAAUAAAUAAGCAAAGGAUAUAGUUUUAAGUGCAGUGGUUUUCACACUCCUAGGACUGAUUUUUCCUUUGCUUUCCCAGGUUGAUGGUAGUAGAUGAAACGGAUCCAAAUGGAUUUUGCAGAGAUAGUCAAAAAGGCAUGCCAACUUGGCUUCUUGUGUACAGUAAGUACAGUAUAAGGUAGCUGCCAGAUAGAGAAGAGAGGACCCCAAGUCAAUUACUGAUUGCUUUAGCUCCUCCUUAAGGUCAACAAACCACAGCUGCAUGUGUUCCAGCAUCUAGAAUGUGACCCUGGAGAAUUAGGGGCACAGUACACAAUAUUCUGUCAAAGUGGGGGUGUCAGCCCUGGUGUAGAAUGAAUAGUGGAACCAGGGCUCUAAUGUACAUGUCAGAUUUCCAUGGAUCUCUCUCUUUUGUCACAUUGUUGUCCAUGUCUUUAUGUGGUGACAUUGCAGAGUGGACUCACAGACCCAGGGAAAGGCUGGGAAUGAAAGUGAAGUCAGUGAUAUUUAUUAUCUUGUGGUGAUCCCAGUGCUGUCAUUACACUGAUUGUCAGCACAGAGAGGCUGAUACCAGGGUCCCCAGUCCACCCGCUGCCUUAUGGUAUUGUCCAUCCAUCUUUUCAUGGUGCUUACUGUUCCUUGGAAAGUGUCUCUGCACAUUCUAGGCACUCUUUUUUCUUUGUUUUUAAUAAAAUCAGGUUCUCCUUUAAAAAAGCAGUAAGCCAAUAAUUUCCAUGGAAAAAUGAGGCAAUUACAUUUAAGCAUAAUCCUCAGAGAAGCACAAGGCACCUGAAUUUGGGAGUUUAUCGAGAGACCCUCUAUUCAGGCAGGAGUGAAUAGGUAACUCAAUUCCAUAGGCCAAAAUUUGGUAAAAUUUCUGUUUGGGACCAGGGCAAGAUAGUAACUAU
Molecule: long non-coding RNA, 2054 nt
Organism: Canis lupus familiaris (dog)
Lineage: Eukaryota; Metazoa; Chordata; Mammalia; Carnivora; Canidae
Exons: 7
Source: RefSeq, a predicted model, not a curated record